GGGGUCUUCUUCAGUUCAUUCUCUGCAGCUUCGUCGCAAGCCCUCCGGAAAUCCGCCUCUUUGACUACAAUUACCCCUACUGGACCAUGGUGCUGGGCUAUUGCAUUGGGACCUCCUCCUUCAUCUGCAUCCCUGCCUACAUGGUUUAUCGGUUGGCAAGGACUCCGGGGACGCUAAAAGAGCGUCUCCUGAAGAGCAUCACGCCCGAAACUUCCACGGAGAUUCCUUUCGAUGGGAUCCACAUGAAUGCCGCUUAGGUCACCCCCACAUUUGGGGCACAGCGUGGGGAGAAGGGAGAGGCAAGGAAAGGGGCCGCAUCCUGUCUCCCUAGUUUGCUUUCCAAAGGUCUCUUCCAAAGACGGGAAUGUCCACCGGGGAAACGUUCUUGGCAUUGACCACCAAGGAAAACCGAUGCGCGAUUCCAGAGAAAACCACCCCCCUGUGGGGGGGACGGGGACUCCCCCGCUUGGCCCCCCGGGCUCUUCCAAAUGGCCCAAGGACUUUCUUUUGGAACACUUGAGUGCAAGUGAAUAUAUAUAUAUUAUAUAUAUACUGGACCUGGAGCUGUCUGAAUGCAUGCGUGGUUUUCCCUCCGGCCUUCGUUGGGCUCUCUGUGCGAGUUAAGAAGUGUCUACGUAGAGCCACCUUGGUGUAAACUUCGUCCCUUGUGACCCCUUGGUGAUUAAAAAAA
Non-coding RNA from Pseudonaja textilis, 691 nucleotides. The record is from RefSeq and is a predicted model, not a curated record. Lineage: Eukaryota; Metazoa; Chordata; Lepidosauria; Squamata; Elapidae.